UAGGAUAGAGGCCUACCAUGGUGGUAACGGGUAACGGGGUGUUAGGGCACGACACCGGAGAGGGAGCCUGAGAAACGGCUACCACAUCCAAGGAUGGCAGCAGGCGCGCAAAUUACCCAAUCCCGACACGGGGAGGUAGUGACAAUAAAUAACAAUACGGGGUUCUUUAGGAUCUCGUAAUUGGAAUGAGUACAAUUUAAAUCUCUUAACGAGGAACAAUUGGAGGGCAAGUCUGGUGCCAGCAGCCGCGGUAAUUCCAGCUCCAAUAGCGUAUAUUAAAGUUGUUGCAGUUAAAAAGCUCGUAGUUGAAUUUCGGGGUUAGUAGGUUGGUCAUGCCUCUGGUAUGUACUGGUCUCACUGAUUCCUCCUUCCUUAUGAACCGUAAUGCCAUUAAUUUGGUGUUGCGGGGAAUUUGGACUGUUACUUUGAAAAAAUUAGAGUGUUUAAAGCAAGCUAACGCUUGAAUACAUUAGCAUGGAAUAAUGAAAUAGGACGUUCGAUCUUAUUUUGUUGGUUUCUAGGAUUGACAUAAUGAUUAAUAGGGAUAGUUGGGGGCAUUAGUAUUCAAUUGUCAGAGGUGAAAUUCUUGGAUUUAUUGAAGACUAACUACUGCGAAAGCAUUUGCCAAGGAUGUUUUCAUUAAUCAAGAACGAAAGUUAGGGGAUCGAAGACGAUCAGAUACCGUCGUAGUCUUAACCAUAAACUAUGCCGACUAGGGAUCGGAUGAUGUA
RNAcentral lists this ribosomal RNA (731 nucleotides) under uncultured fungus. RNAcentral describes it as "SSU rRNA". It matches the Rfam family "Eukaryotic small subunit ribosomal RNA", at positions 329 to 1064 of the family's 1831-position model. The record is from RNAcentral. Lineage: Eukaryota; Fungi.